Molecule: long non-coding RNA, 211 nt
Filed under: Brachypodium distachyon (stiff brome)
Lineage: Eukaryota; Viridiplantae; Streptophyta; Magnoliopsida; Poales; Poaceae
Description: long non-coding RNA (BDIS_LNC005168)
Source: RNAcentral
GUACACGACUGUACUAUCUUUUUUUUUUCUAUACUCUUUUCGGGGACUUGGGGAAACCACUGGAUGACCAUGAUGAGAUUAAUUUGCUGUUGACGUCCAUUUUCCGAUGUUCUCACAUCGAACUUGAAAUAUUUUUAACAGACGAGCUGGCUAAAAGUGCAUCUAACACCAGGCAAAUGCCAGCCAACGUUUCGCCUCGAUCCAACGACAA